GCGAGAGUGGCGGAACUGGGAGACGCACCAGACUUAGGAUCUGGCACCGAAAGGUAUGGGGGUUCGAGCCCCCCCUCUCGCACCA
RNAcentral lists this transfer RNA (85 nucleotides) under Desulfovibrio sp. RNAcentral's name for it is "tRNA-Leu". It matches the Rfam family "tRNA". Rfam says of the family: Transfer RNA (tRNA) molecules are approximately 80 nucleotides in length. RNAcentral also lists the same sequence under 3 other names. Lineage: Bacteria; Pseudomonadati; Thermodesulfobacteriota; Desulfovibrionia; Desulfovibrionales; Desulfovibrionaceae. The record is from RNAcentral.